GGGUUGUGAGGUUAAGCGACUAAGCGUACACGGUGGAUGCCCUGGCAGUCAGAGGCGAUGAAGGGCGUGCUAAUCUGCGAUAAGCGCCGGUAAGGUGAUAUGAACCGUUAUAACCGGCGAUACCCGAAUGGGGAAACCCAGUGUGACUCGUCACACUAUCAUUAACUGAAUCCAUAGGUUAAUGAGGCGAACCGGGGGAACUGAAACAUCUAAGUACCCCGAGGAAAAGAAAUCAACCGAGAUUCCCCCAGUAGCGGCGAGCGAACGGGGAGGAGCCCAGAGCCUGAAUCAGCAUGUGUGUUAGUGGAAGCGUCUGGAAAGGCGCGCGAUACAGGGUGACAGCCCCGUACACAAAAGCGCAUGUGCUGUGAGCUCGAUGAGUAGGGCGGGACACGUGGUAUCCUGUCUGAAUAUGGGGGGACCAUCCUCCAAGGCUAAAUACUCCUGACUGACCGAUAGUGAACCAGUACCGUGAGGGAAAGGCGAAAAGAACCCCGGCGAGGGGAGUGAAAAAGAACCUGAAACCGUGUACGUACAAGCAGUGGGAGCACAGGUUUACCUGUGUGACUGCGUACC
RNAcentral lists this ribosomal RNA (576 nucleotides) under Salmonella enterica subsp. enterica. RNAcentral's name for it is "partial 23S ribosomal RNA". It matches the Rfam family "Bacterial large subunit ribosomal RNA", at positions 1 to 605 of the family's 2925-position model. Lineage: Bacteria; Pseudomonadati; Pseudomonadota; Gammaproteobacteria; Enterobacterales; Enterobacteriaceae. The record is from RNAcentral. RNAcentral also lists the same sequence under 1 other name.